AGAGUUUGAUCCUGGCUCAGGACGAACGCUGGCGGCGUGCUUAAUACAUGCAAGUCGAGCGAGGCCUUGGAAUUGGAGUCCUUCGGGAUGAAGAGUCCUUGGCCUAGCGGCGGACGGGUGAGUAACGCGUGGGCAACCUACCCCAAAGUCCGGGAUAACAGUGGGAAACCGCUGCUAAUACCGGAUGGCUUUACCUGAGGGCAUCCUUGGGUAAAGAAAGGUUACGCUUUGGGAUGGGCCCGCGUCCCAUUAGCUAGUUGGUGAGGUAACGGCUCACCAAGGCCACGAUGGGUAGCCGGCCUGAGAGGGUGAACGGCCACACUGGGACUGAGACACGGCCCAGACUCCUACGGGAGGCAGCAGUAGGGAAUAUUGCGCAAUGGGCGGAAGCCUGACGCAGCGACGCCGCGUGAGCGAAGAAGGCCUUCGGGUCGUAAAGCUCUGUCCUUGGGGAAGAAGGCGAAAGCUUGACGGUACCCAAGAAGAAAGCCCCGGCUAACUACGUGCCAGCAGCCGCGGUAAUACGUAGGGGGCGAGCGUUGUCCGGAAUUACUGGGCGUAAAGGGUGCGUAGGCGGCCUUUUAAGUCAGAUGUGAAAGACCACGGCUUAACCGUGGGGUUGCAUUUGAAACUGGGAGGCUUGAGUGUCGGAGAGGGCAGUGGAAUUCCCGGUGUAGCGGUGAAAUGNGUAGAUAUCGGGAGGAACACCAGUGGCGAANNNGACUGNCUGGNCNAUAACUGACGCUGAGGCACGAAAGCUAGGGGAGCAAACAGGANUANAUACCCUGNAGUCCUAGCCGUAAACGAUGGGUACUAGGNGUAGGGGUUUCGAUACCUCUGUGCCNCA
RNAcentral lists this ribosomal RNA (847 nucleotides) under uncultured bacterium. RNAcentral's name for it is "bacterial SSU rRNA". It matches the Rfam family "Bacterial small subunit ribosomal RNA", at positions 8 to 850 of the family's 1533-position model. The record is from RNAcentral.